AUGGAUCACAGGAGGAUGCUAAUAGGUGAUGGUUACAUACAAAUUCCAUCCCCAGAUAGCUUGGGAAGUGACUUCAGCUUUGGCAAACUCCUGGGAGUAAAGGGUCAGGAACUCCAUAUAUAUCUUGACUACCAUGGAUUGAAAUCCUGCUCCUACUAUGGAUGUUCAUGCCAACCCCUGCCAUGCUGUGGUCUGAACUUUGUUUAGAAUAUCGCUAGCAGUCCCCAGAUGCACCAUCACUCCUGAGAGCUCAAGUGGUAAGUCAACUGCCAAGGCUCUGGAUCACUGCCUCCCACCUCUCAGGACAACCUGAGAAGUUGCCUCUUUCAUAUUACAACUGUGUGACAAUUAAAGGGGGGCAACCACUUUAGCCCCAGUGCAAGAAGCUGGAGACUGAAGUUUAUUGACUUAACCUGUACUGCCAACACCAAAACCAGGUCCAAGGCCAACUUCAAAACUUAGCUGCCCACAUGAUUAAUUGAAGCCUCCUUGUCUGGACCUGUGUUGUUAACUAAUAUUGCAACUAUCAGUUCAUUUUGCAGAUAAGAAAUUAUAGGCCCAGAGAGAUAAGUGCCCAAAGCUCAUGUACUUGAAGAAUCUCACAGCUUGAAGCAGAACCCAGCUCUGAUACUUUGUAGAAUAGUGCCAUCACCAUUAGAACAUGUACCGUGACCUUCCUGGAAGUGGCACGUGAGCCUCCCUUUGAAUCAGCUUGACUUUGAGCUCACCCAUGAAACACCAGUGACUUUUGAAAGAAUAUAGGGAUGGCACCACCGAAAGAUUUUGCCUCAGUUGGCUGCAAAUAACGUUAUCUGAAAUAACUGCCAAAGCUGUAAUUUAUCAGACUUUUUCACAGCUUCCACAAAGGCAAGGAAAUUCAAAGUUGAAAGGCUUUCUCCAGGCAGCACAUGCCAGGCAUUUGUGCAUGAAUUGCAGGAGGGGAAAUGAUAUGUUUCUUUUAGAGCUGUUGUUGCCAUCAUGGAAAGUGAGCAAGCAUCUGUGCUUCGGAAAUAAGUGGAAGGAAGGUGUUCCGUGAAAGAAAGCAUGUGGGAAAGCGGCUUAAAAUGGUGAUAGUGUAUGAAAGUGGCAGGAGUUCUGAAUGCCAUUGGGGAGAAGAAACGGAACAAGGCUGACACAUAGAAAGGUGGUGAGAAAGCAAAAAGACAUGUAAAGUGGAGUGUAUUGAAGGAAAAAAGAGAAAUUUGGCUAGAGAAUAGGUCUGAGCAAAUUCCAAAAGUGAGAGAGAAACAAAGAAAAAWGGGAAAAUCAUAAGACAGAUGAAAAGUCUAUUGGAUGGUUGUGGAGGUGAAAGUGUAAGUUAAGGUUUUAGGUAUGUUUUGUUGAGAAAACAGAUAUAAAUCUGAAAAUGAGGUGUCCAAGAAGGACUCCUGAUACAGCAGUGGUCUGUACAUUUAUACUAACCAAAGUCUGUAAGAUGAUUGUACUCUCUAGCAUUUACCAUUGAUCCUGAAGAAAUAAUGAGAAGACUGAUCUUUCCUCAUGUUUAGUAAUACUUAAUUCAAGAGAACUGCUUACUUUAUAUCACUGCAARUAAGGGUUACACAGCCAAUCUUAAGGUCCUUAAUUUCAUUCCAGGGCUUACUAUUUCCUGUGUUACUACUCUGUAAAGAUGACUCUAGAAUAACAAUUUAAUACUUGAGUGCCCAGAGUCAGGCAGACACUUUGCAUAAAAGUGUUCYCUUGUGCGCGCUGAGUGCCUGCAGCUCCCCCCGGGAAGUGGUGGGUGCUAAGCACCUCGGAAAAUCAGGUCACUGUCACUCAGAAGCUCAGAAAAGAACGGAGGUGCCAAAGUUUAAGAUUAAACUUACAAGUUGGUGGCAUCAUUCUAGAAUAGUGCUUCUCUGAAGGAUUGCCACAUUUUUUGUUGUUUAAAUUUUGGAAUGCAACAGGUACGCAUUUGUAAUUCAGGUGUAAUUAUAAAUCCCUCCAGAGAUAAUAUGAGGAUAUAAGAAAGAGGGAAUGAGAGACAGAAAAAGUGAGCAAGAUGGGGAGGAAUUAAAAAAGAAAGGGACAGAAAGAUAUAUUGUUCAAACCUUCUUUUAGACUAGCUUGGGCAUGCCUUAUUGGCUUUGAAUGCAAACAAUUAGUCAGCAAGCUUAAAAUAAACAUAAUGAAGUGUUUUCUUCCA
Long non-coding RNA from Dromaius novaehollandiae (emu), 2149 nucleotides. The record is from Ensembl. NCBI's taxonomy places the organism in Eukaryota, Metazoa, Chordata, Aves, Casuariiformes, Dromaiidae.